CAGGCCUAACACAUGCAAGUCGAACGAUGUCUUUCGGGGCAUAGUGGCGCACGGGUGCGUAACGCGUGGGAAUCUGCCCUGGGGUCUGGGAUAACGUUGGGAAACUGACGCUAAUACCGGAUGAUGAUGAAAGUCCAAAGAUUUAUCGCCCUGGGAUGAGCCCGCGUAGGAUUAGGUAGUUGGUGUGGUAAAGGCGCACCAAGCCGACGAUCCUUAGCUGGUCUGAGAGGAUGAUCAGCCACACUGGGACUGAGACACGGCCCAGACUCCUACGGGAGGCAGCAGUGGGGAAUAUUGGACAAUGGGCGCAAGCCUGAUCCAGCAAUGCCGCGUGAGUGAUGAAGGCCUUAGGGUUGUAAAGCUCUUUUACCCGUGAUGAUAAUGACAGUAGCGGGAGAAUAAGCUCCGGCUAACUCCGUGCCAGCAGCCGCGGUAAU
Molecule: ribosomal RNA, 437 nt
Filed under: uncultured bacterium
Lineage: Bacteria
Description: bacterial SSU rRNA
Rfam family: Bacterial small subunit ribosomal RNA
Source: RNAcentral